RNAcentral lists this ribosomal RNA (253 nucleotides) under uncultured bacterium. Its description in RNAcentral is "partial 16S ribosomal RNA". It matches the Rfam family "Bacterial small subunit ribosomal RNA", at positions 524 to 776 of the family's 1533-position model. The record is from RNAcentral.
UACGGAGGGGGCUAGCGUUGUUCGGAAUUACUGGGCGUAAAGCGCACGUAGGCGGCUUUGUAAGUAAGAGGUGAAAGCCUGGUGCUCAACACCAGAACUGCCUUUUAGACUGCAUCGCUUGAAUCCAGGAGAGGUGAGUGGAAUUCCGAGUGUAGAGGUGAAAUUCGUAGAUAUUCGGAAGAACACAAGUGGCGAAGGCGGCUCACUGGACUGGUAUUGACGCUGAGGUGCGAAAGCGUGGGGAGCAAACAGG